This 447-nucleotide ribosomal RNA is filed under the name uncultured bacterium. Its description in RNAcentral is "bacterial SSU rRNA". It matches the Rfam family "Bacterial small subunit ribosomal RNA", at positions 34 to 498 of the family's 1533-position model. The record is from RNAcentral.
CGCUGGCGGCGUGCUUAACACAUGCAAGUCGAACGAUGAAGCCCUUCGGGGUGGAUUAGUGGCGAACGGGUGAGUAACACGUGGGCAAUCUGCCCUUCACUCUGGGACAAGCCCUGGAAACGGGGUCUAAUACCGGAUAAUACUCCUGCCUGCAUGGGCGGGGGUUGAAAGCUCCGGCGGUGAAGGAUGAGCCCGCGGCCUAUCAGCUUGUUGGUGGGGUAAUGGCCCACCAAGGCGACGACGGGUAGCCGGCCUGAGAGGGCGACCGGCCACACUGGGACUGAGACACGGCCCAGACUCCUACGGGAGGCAGCAGUGGGGAAUAUUGCACAAUGGGCGAAAGCCCGAUGCAGCGACGCCGCGUGAGGGAUGACGGCCUUCGGGUUGUAAACCUCUUUCAGCAGGGAAGAAGCGAAAGUGACGGUACCUGCAGAAGAAGCGCCGGCU